AACGAACGCUGGCGGCAUGCCUAACACAUGCAAGUCGAACGAGACCUUCGGGUCUAUUGGCGCACGGGUGCGUAACGCGUGGGAACCUGCCCUUAGGUUCGGAAUAACUCCCCGAAAGGGGUGCUAAUACCGGAUAAUGUCUUCGGACCAAAGAUUUAUCGCCUUUGGAUGGGCCCGCGUUGGAUUAGCUAGUUGGUAGGGUAAAAGCCUACCAAGGCGACGAUCCAUAGCUGGUCUGAGAGGAUGAUCAGCCACACUGGGACUGAGACACGGCCCAGACUCCUACGGGAGGGAGGAGUGGGGAAUAUUGGCCAAUGGGCGAAAGCCUGAUCCAGCAAUGCCGCGUGAGUGAUGAAGGCCUUAGGGUUGUAAAGCUCUUUUACACGGGAUGAUAAUGACAGUACCGGGAGAAUAAGCUCCGGCUAACUCCGUG
This 433-nucleotide ribosomal RNA is filed under the name uncultured bacterium. RNAcentral's name for it is "partial 16S ribosomal RNA". It matches the Rfam family "Bacterial small subunit ribosomal RNA", at positions 29 to 507 of the family's 1533-position model. The record is from RNAcentral.